This is a non-coding RNA of Phascolarctos cinereus (koala), 4125 nucleotides long. Lineage: Eukaryota; Metazoa; Chordata; Mammalia; Diprotodontia; Phascolarctidae. The record is from RefSeq and is a predicted model, not a curated record.
UAAGGAGUUGGAGGUAACUGAAAAACAACUGAACGACAGCAAAAAGUUGUAUUGAAUCAUGUAUCUUAUUUUGUUUUAUUUCAGGCAUAUAUUCUACUAAAUAAUUUUAAAUUUCUAUCAACCAGCCAAUUACUAAGUGCUCAAGAAAGCUGGGGUAAUGGUGGGGAAAAGCACUGAUUUAACAGUCUGAAGAUCUGACUCCUCCAGUUACUAGGUGUCUUGCCUUGGGCAGGCUACUAGACAUCUGAGCUGACUUGAGUGGUGAUAAUGUGACAUCAAAAGGUGUUAUAAAAUUAGUCAUGACAAUUGGUAAGCCAGCAGGUAGACAGCAGCCCUUGGACCCCAGGGAAGGACUUUCCGAGGAACUGCUUAGAGUACUCUGGUUGACUUUAUCACUGAAGGAUUUCUCUGCAGAAGCCUAUCCCAAGGUCAGACUCCUCAGUCUCAAUUAUGGAGCUAAGCAGUUCUAUUCACCUAGCUUCUCAGAUUCCUGUUUGCCUUCACCUGGAAGAAAACACAGUAGAUGUGGAGUCAUUUACCUCAAGGGUACAUAGAAUACUCUACCCUGUUUCCUCAAAUCCUACGACAAGAUCAAACUUCUAUCAUCUUCAAGGGCUGGUCUUUAAUCCAAUACAUUGAUGACGUCCUACUGGCAGCACCCUAGUCUUAAGAUUUGUCAAGAUGGCAGCCAUCACCUUCUUCAACACCUUCAAAGGGGUCACAAAGUCUCUAAACAAAAAGUUCGGUGGCACCUCCCACAGAUGAAGUAUCUUGGUUUCAUUUUAUCUGUGAGUACCUGCUCUGUUUCCUUUAAGCAUGUGCAGGCCUUACAGAAGCUGUUGGUUUCCACAAACUAUACGCCAUUCUCGGAGCAGCCAGAUAUUGUCGACAAUGGAUCUCAUCCUUUGGUGUGAUCACUAAAGCCUUUAUUUCUUUGACUAAAGACUCUCCAGAACCUUUGCAGCUUGAUCAUCCAUAGCUCUUAGUCCUUGUGGAUCUCAAAAACAUCUUGUGGGCUCCUGCCCUGGACUUUCAGAUUAUAGUAAGCCCUUCUUCCUCUUUGUACAGGAAUGAAGUAGAGUGUGUGAACCCAAACAUUCGGGCCUGCUUUGUGCCCAGUGCUUUACUAAUCUGCAAAGCCUGAUGCUAAGGACACUGGUGCUCUGCCCCAUCUGUAGGUUGUGGCUGCCACUGCCCUUCUGGUGGAGAAGGCUUGUCAUCUGGUUCUGGGAGCCCUCUUUAUGGUGUAGCAUCCCCACAACGUUGAGGCCUGCUUACUUCACCACUGAACUUGGACCUUUUCUGACCAGAGACUUGCCAAAUACGAAGUGACCUUGCUGGGGAAAAAAAGAAUGUCACCCUCAAGUGAUGCCAUCCUUAAUCCUGCCGCAUUGUCCCCCAAUUUGCAAGUCUCAGGGGAGCCACUGCAUGACUUGUCCUCUGUAGUAGAUAUGGCUGAAGACCCCUGCAAUGACUUCUCCAACACCCCCUUCCAAAAUCCUGAUUAGGUCUUGAAUAUCAGCAGGUUCUCUUUUAUGAGAGAUGGUCUUUGUCACGCUGGCUCUGCUGGGAUCUUUGACCAUGACACCAUCUGGGCAGCCUUGCUGCCCUCUAAACUCAGUGCCUAACCUGCUACCUUGUAGCCCUUUCUCAGCCAUGUUACCUUGCCAAUGAAAAAGCACAAUUUAUACUGGUUGGUGGUUUGCAUUUGGUGUCUAUCAUGUGGUUGUGAUGCUUUGGCUGCAAAGGGGUUUUUGACUUGUUAAGGUCAUUGCAAAUGUGGAAUUUAUUAGGGCUCUUAUCUGUAUUGAGGCUUCCUGCUCCCCUAGCCAUUGUCUAUUGUCCUACCCAUGCCACCCCUAUAGCUGCCCAUGUAUGUACCUUCUGUUCCACUCGCUGAGCAUUUAACCAGUAUGCCUAUGGUGGGUGCCCUUUGCUUAUACCCUAGCUUAUAUGCCUUUUAAGCAUUUCCCAAUUGAUUUCAUUUUUAUACCUAUCUGGCCUCUUUAAAGUCUGCCUAGUUAUUGUUGACCAACUCAUUGGAUGGGUAGAAGUCCUUCCUGGCUCUUGGAUCACAGACAGAUUUUUUUUUUUUUUGCAAAGGUUCUCCUAAAAGAAAUUGUCCCCUGCUUUGGCCCUCUGGCCUGCAUUGAUUCUAAUAGAGGCACCCACUUUACCAGUUCUAUCCUAUCCCAUAUUUACUCUUGUCUAUAGGUACUCCUAAAAUUUCACACACCUUACCACCCCCAUAGCUCAGGUCAGGUUGAGCAUAUGAAUGAGCUUAAAACCAUGAUUGACAUGAAGCCUAUCUAAAGUGACCUGAGGUACUUCCUCUGGCUUUGUCCUAUCUGUGCAGCAGACCAAGGGUAGAAUUACAUAUGUAUCUCCUUUUGAAAUAUUUUUGGGCACCUUCCCUAUCUGCCACAUCCAAGCAAGACCUUUCCCCUAGUACACACAUCUCUAUUGGGAAGAGAAUACCUCUGUUGCUUCUUAUAUACAGGAAGUACCAACCAGGCUUCAAGAACUCCAUGAUGUAGAAGUGGCAGUACAGGCUGGGCCUUUAGAUUUUUCACUAAUGACUUUCACCUGGGACAAGUGUACCUCAAGAAUUUCUAGGGAAUAAGGGAACUUGGUGUACUUGGGAAAACCCAUUCUGAGUGCUAAGAAUCACCCCUACCUCGAUCAAGAUCUGGGAAAGAGACUCUUGGAUACACUGUUCCCAUGUGGAACCUGCUCCCUACCAUGUUUCAUAAUGUUUUUGCUCUGAUUUGCUCUGAUUUUUAUAAUGUGUUAUUCUUUUUGUGGCCUUGUCCUCCCAUAUCCAUUCCUCUCAGGAGGACUGGAAAAGACUUAAUGCUGUCAGUAAUUUUCAUGGUGGGGUAGGUCAUGCUUUAUAUCACCCCAAAUCUAUUGGGUCGCAUGGGUAUUGGGUUUGCCAUCAUAGGGACCUUGACCCAUGGACAGUCUUUCCCAUUAUGGAGUCUGAAACCAUUCUGUAAUCCAUCAGGGUUGCUGGAGGCAGUUUGCCAGUCUCUGGAGGGGAUGAUGAACUCCCUCAACUUGAGGCUUCCUUUUCUCCUUUUAUGCUGGCUAAAAGCUAGUCUAUCAGAUAUCACUCUACUAAAAUGCCACUCUCAGGAUGGUCAAGCCAUUUAAAUUAUCUGUAAAAUGUCGAUUUGCCCUGUCUGGAGCCCUUUGGGGACUUGGUGACUCCUGGAUAGUUUUUUUGUCUGUGAUGAUAAGGCUUACUCCUCCCUUCCCCCAAAAGUGCAUUGAGAUAUGUGGAACUGCCUAUAUGGACCACAUCACAGAACUACUGGGAUAAAUCUAGCAGAAACCUGGGGGCAUGGUGGUUUAAACAUUAAAAAAAAAAUUCCUAGAAGAACAUGGCUACAAUCUAAAACCAUGGAAAGGAGAUGAAGUUCUUCUGGUCCCUAAUACCAUAUAUUGGGGGUCUCUCCAUUAGUUGCUACAUUAAAACCUGUUCCAAGCUAGUCCCGAGAGGCUUAUAUUAGUGUGUUCUGCUGACCAUGACCAUGUUAAAAAUCUUUUAGAAUUAGCUAAUAGGUAGCUGGGAUGUUAACACUCCCAGGAUCAAGGGGGAGUACUGAGAGAACCACAUUGACUCCAUUUUUGUAUUAUCAUUGACAUUUUGUACAGCUGUUGGAGUUGUCUCAUUUCCUGAGUUAAGUUGAGUUUUCCUAUAGAUUAUGUGAUUUCAGAAAAGUAAUUUACUAUUGUGCCACCAACCAAUCAUUUUGCAGGAUGCAGGUGGAUACAACCAAUCGAAGGCCCUGAGCUCUGGAAAGUCCCUAAAUCUAAAAACAGUAACUUGCUAAAAAUAGUAACUGUGCUUAACAUAAAAAGCCUUAUGUCUCUUCAAGGUCCUUGUACUUACUGAGGGGUCGCUGCACCUGAUUAGUUCUGCAAUUGUAGGCCUUGUUAAUAAAUCACAUAGCUUGGACUUUGUUUCCUCAGUUAUUAUAAAAUUACUCCUGACAGCAGAAAAUGCAUAGAAUGGGGCUCAAGCCAUAUUUCUAUAACAUUGAUUUUCUCCAAACAUACUGUAUUAAACAUGGAUUAGCCAGGGGUUCUGGAGUUGUGUGGGCCUUAGGCUACAUUUUA